CACUUUGCAGAUGCUGGAAUACAACAGAUCCACCUUCUUUGUUUUUAAAAAAUUGUGUUAUUCUGCAGAUUUUCAAUCAAUAGGAUCUUAAAAUCAAUAGGUUUUAGAAAAACCCUUUACAACACAACCUAACAGUUUAAAAAUCUGUACUUAAAAUAACUGUUCCAAUCACCCUGUGGCUUUCACUGGGACUGGGCGCUGGCAAUAGCCAGUAAGGAUUCUGGGUUUUGGCUUGCUCCUUAUUCCUUAAGUUGGAAAGUGGUAGAGAGCAAGUGAGCAGCAGGGUUCCUUGCAGAGAGUGAGGAAGGUAAGUAACUGGAAAAACUUCACAGAAACAAAACUCAGCCUGAACUAGUCACCACUUUGAUAGCUAUAACAAUCUGGCAGCAAGCGGGCGAUGAGUUGGUCCUUUGAUGUGCAGGAGGUUGAUGAGUGGAUGAGAAGCAGGUGUGUCUGCCAGAAUCCAGCCAGGUCUGUUUUGAGGACCUUCAGAGGGUCCUGACAGGCUGGUACGCCCUCCUAUAUACUCAUACCCGGUGGGAGAACAAGUGGGAGAGAAAGACAAGAAGAAGAAAGAAGGUCUUCUUUGGUUCUUGGUUUGAGUUCAGAGUCACCACCUCUAACCUCCUGGAUUUCGCUUUGAUAAUGUUGGAUGCCUCUAGCUAUGUCUUAGCCAUUUGUUAGCUAAAACCUUCACUGAGAUACACAAACACUUCAAAAUUUGUGAGCUACAUGUAUAUUUAUGGAUUUCUGAGAUUGCUCAAGGACCGAUUGAUGGAUGGAUGGAUAAGAUGACUGCUGGUGCAAAAUCCAAAAUCAUUUCUGGUUUUCAGUACUCUUUCCUGCCACACUGUAUUCUGCAGAAUGUAUCACACUUUUUUUAAAAGGUAUUUGCAGUUGUACUUUUUAUUAACUUCCAACACUUUUACGCUGUGCAGAGGUAUAAGCACAGUUUGACCAUCUUGAUAUAUUUGUUAUGAAAGCAGUCCUGUGUUUUCACUUCCAGAGGCUCAUCACCAGGAACUGCAAAGAUGGUUCUUAGAUUUGUCAUCCUGCAAUGUGGCAGACAAUAUAUUACUGCUGUCACUCAUCAAGCUACUGCAAAAGUACACGGCACAUUUUUGUGGAAUGCUUUUUCCUGUUGUAAAUUAUUAACCAUUAUAACAUGAAUCAGUGGGUGUUGACCUCGGGACUGAUUCAUACUUUUAAAAUGUGCAGGGGGAAAAUAUUUAUCUGCUCGUUCAGUAACACUGCUGGUUGGAGGUGAUUUUUCUCAUUAAACUGUGUUAGCUGCACAGGCUAAUCUCAAUAUUAAUUCAUUAAUAGGUUGAUUUUAGGAUUGAAAUGGAGAGCAAUUACAUAACUAAAACUGGCAUUCUUGAAUAGUAAUUAAUCAAUUAGCCUUAAUAUUAAUGCCAGUAAAUUGUCGUGGGUUUGAUGCAUGACAUGAAAAACCUGAUUUGUUUUCACAGCAGUUUGACUCAGUGUCAAUACUGCCCGUCCGUAAAUAAAUGUAAAUGAACUGAUAUUUCAACUAUGUCAAAAGGAAUUACAAGGAUAUGCACUGUCCAUUUAAUCUCAGCUGUGGCGAAUAUAACUGGAUCUAUAAUAAAAAAUCUGUGUGUGCACA
Long non-coding RNA from Oreochromis niloticus (Nile tilapia), 1630 nucleotides. RefSeq lists it as uncharacterized. Lineage: Eukaryota; Metazoa; Chordata; Actinopteri; Cichliformes; Cichlidae. The transcript has 2 exons. The record is from RefSeq and is a predicted model, not a curated record.